Long non-coding RNA from Raphanus sativus (radish), 2287 nucleotides. RefSeq lists it as uncharacterized. The transcript is spliced from 8 exons. Lineage: Eukaryota; Viridiplantae; Streptophyta; Magnoliopsida; Brassicales; Brassicaceae. The record is from RefSeq and is a predicted model, not a curated record.
AGUAAAAAGAGAAAAACUCAUCGAUUAAAGAAAAAAGACAAAACUCUACCGACAGACGCCUUCUCCACUUUUCCUUUUCUCCGAAGCUUCUCUGAGAUCAGAAAAGAAUUUCACGAUCUUGUUUCCGAUCCAAGGCAGAACAACGAAAUCGAUAGAAUAAUCUUUUGACUUGUUCAUCCCUGUGGGUAUUGUUGAAGCGGCUUGCGAAGAUACCAAGAUUAAAUCAUAUUUAUUAAGCGAACGGAACAGAGCAUGCCAUCUCAGAUCUGUUCAGAUCUUCUUAAGAACUUGGAUCGAAGAAUAAGUCAAAGAUCUGACAGAAGCAUGAAAAAAGUCAAACAGACGUUUCAAAACUCAGUAGAUCGACAGAGGAUUUCACCAUACCCUAUAUCUAGCUGAAGGCAAAAUCCGGAGAAGUAAGAUGAGUCUGAGAUGAAAGACAACGAAAAGAUACCUUAUACAUAUUAGAUUGGAAAGAUUUGGAAGAGUUCGAAGACGAUCUGAAGCAAUCAAAACUUUAUUGUUUUAAAUUUUAAAUGAACAAUGCUGAAUGUUGAAUAAAGAUGAAGGACAUGGGACAGAGACAUGACUGCAAAGCGAUACGAAACAUUAUAUGAGAAACAAAAGAACCAACCAUUUUUUGAUGAAUGUUGAUUGCAGUAUAUCUCUCUAUAGCUUUAUUUUUUGGGUUAUACAUGAGAAACAAUAUAUGUUUUAUACUUUGUGAGUUCAUUUAAUAGUAUAGUCACAGUUAAUGUGCAGGUCGAGCUAUCAAAGGUUUAGAGGCAGAAGUUUUAUACUCUCAAAGAAUGGUUGGUUGUGCGGAAGGCUCCUCCUGCCGGCCUAACAUGAAAGUUGCGGAUGCAUGUUGCGGCAAACUCCAACCAGAAGAUCACUUACUUUACUCUCAAUUGUUUUCAUAUCAGGUAUAGGGUUUGACAAAGCAGAAGAUGAUUUCGAUGUGGUUUUCAGUUUGAUCAUCAUUUUAUAUUGUGAUGGGCUGAAAAAUUAUUUUAUUUAUGUUUUGAAUAAAAAAAGCCUGCACUUAUGGAUUUACUUUGUAAUACUCGGUAAUGGGCUUUAAAAUGUUUUGAUAUUGAUAUGGUUUAAAAAUCGAAGAACUGUGAUUGGUUAGUAUUAAUGUGGCGACAUAAAAAAAGGAAAGGCAGUGGCAGAGGGUUGUAAUUAUUUAGAAAAAACAGUGGCAAAAACCUAUUAGGUAUUUUGCUUUAAUAGUAUAGAUAGAUAAGCGAUUUUUUCUAGCUAGUACGUGCAGACUUGCAGUGUUAGCCAAAAUCGGGGAUCUCAAUUUUGCAUUUGAAGUGUACAUAUAUAUGUGUAAGCAUAUGUGAUCAAUGACACGUACAAUCAAUAAAUAGCUUUUAGAACUCUCGGGGCCGGUCCAUUCCUAAUAAAUCCAAAAAGUUAUCAUUAAAUCCAGUCACAUGUAAGCUUUCGGUGAUUUUUCGUAUUUUUGUUAUUUUGUUCCUUAAAGGAAGAAAAAAAAAAGAGAGAUAGGAAUUUAAGUGGGAUAUGAAUAUGUACUUACAAGGCUUUCAAAUAUAUUUACAUCAGUUCUUAGAAAAAUACAGGUAACUUUUUCCCAAACUAUAUAUUAGUAUCACAUAUAACAAUAAUUUUAAAUGAAAUAACUAACUAAGGAGCAACAAAAGUGGGAAAGAUCGGCGGUGGCGGCACGUGGACGAGUAGGGAACAUUACCCAACUCGUUUCCACAUUUCUAAGCAAUGGUGAGAGACUGGAGGAUUGACGUGACAGCAGCUGAAGAUGGUCAUGUUCUUCGGUUCUUGAGAACGACGUGAUGCAGAGAUUAUUACGUUAGAGCAGUCAGCUGAUGAGGCGAGCUAGGUAGCUGGUUCGCUGCGAGGUUCAGCUUCCCAGCGUUGGCAACAGUGUCUCCACCUUGUCGACAGCGAAGCCCAAACCAUCAAAAGCUUAAAGUCUGGUCCGAUUUCGGUGCUUCUGCCAAGGUUCGAUUUUUCUUUUCUUUCAGUACAGACUGUUUCCGUUUGCAGGCUAAGGAGUGAGACAUGGUCGCUCGUGAAGCUGUUCCGGUCAGGAAUGCAUCGUCGGUGUCGAUGUGCUGGUCCUAGCACUGAACUCUUAUCUCUUUGUGGCGAGCGCUUGUGUUUUAUAUGUUAAUCUUUAUUAGGAAUAGCUAAUAUCCGGGCUUAUGUUUCUCACUAGUGUGGUCGAAUGCUAGGGGUGAAAAAGACAACUCUUUAUAUGUUAUGGAUUUUGUUUUUACUGGGUUUAGUUACAUCAAAA